This is a long non-coding RNA of Acanthopagrus latus (yellowfin seabream), 1912 nucleotides long. RefSeq lists it as uncharacterized. The record is from RefSeq and is a predicted model, not a curated record. The transcript has 2 exons. NCBI's taxonomy places the organism in Eukaryota, Metazoa, Chordata, Actinopteri, Spariformes, Sparidae.
UAGUGGCGUGAAGCAGUGGCGAUGAGGCUUUUAUUUUGAAAAGCUCCAACCAGAAAUAGCAUUUCUCUGUCGGAGAGACUCCAACAGCUCUGUAACGACAAGGUGCCGCUGCACAGCCUCGCUGCGUGGGACAAUUGUGACAGAAACUACGACACACUGCAGUAAAUACACACGCUCAUGUUUCUCAUUUGCCUGUGAAUGGUGCUUGAAUGGUAACAUUACAUUCUGAAUACGUAUCAGAUUGACGGAAGCUAAACUAGUAGCUUGCUACCUGGCUAGCUUAAAUGAAACACCACCAGUACCAUGAAAUACCACCCAGCGGGUUGAGCAUCUCUGAGAGUCAACAGCACAGUGCACCUGGACAUCUCCCCAGCGGUGGAUCUGUCCCUGUCCCACCUCCCCUGGACCUCCCUGCUUCAGUGGACAGAAUAAUGCAAACACCAUGUGACAGAGGAUCUUGGAGCAGCUAGCUGCAGAGCCUGCCUGCCUGCCUGUCUGUCAGCUGGGAUUUGCUGUCUUCAUGGCAAGAUGAGCGACCUGACAGAGUUCGAAAGAUGCCAAAUAGUCGCUGCUCGUCUAUCUGGUGCAUCCGUCACAAAAACUGCCCAGCUGUUUAAUGUUGCCAGGGGAACGGUCUCCAGAGUCAUGACUGUGUAUGUCAAACACGGACGAACAGCAUCAGCCAAGAAGAACAGCGGGCGCAAGUCAAAGCUCACCGAAAAGGAUAGACAGACACUUCUGAGGAUAGUGGAUGAACACCCUGAGUACACAGCCUCGAAAAUAACCACAGAGCUGAACAGAAACCUCUCUCACACAGUCUCAGUAAAGACGAUACGGCGUGAGCUUCACAAAGCAGGUAUUUUCAGAGGAGCGGCCACUCGGAAACCGGAGGCAGACACCGACACAGAUACAAUGAUCGCUAGACCUGAACCUGAUACACAGAAAUCUGGUGAAGAGAGAGCAAGAGCUAAACUGCAGACAAAUGACACACAAAAGCCCAUGGAAGACAAAACAGUCUAUGAAACUUGGUCUGGUGUCGAAAAUAAUAUCACAGAAACAGCUGAAGAGCGAAUACAGCCUGAAGUCCCAGUCAGUGGAGAAGAGGACUGCACACAAAAGCCUGGUGGAGAGAGCACAGGAGCAAGAUGAGUGUAAAGGAAUAACAUGGUGUGAUUGGGUUAUAUCUGGCUGUUGUAAAGUCCAGAUGGGUCGUGUUUAGGGAAACCACAGAAUGCCUUCAUCCCUCAAAGGCGCCUACUGCCCAAGUAUUUGUAAUAACAUGUCAGUUUUUAGAUUUGGUUAUUUAUUCUGUGCGAGUGCAUCAUGGUGCAGUAUUCAGACUUUUCCCAAGCACUUUCAUUUUUCCAGGUUUACAAGCAAACGUAUCUUAAAUUUACUGUCAAGAAUUGGCCUUAAUAGUUGAAAAUAUCCAUAUUGUGGAUAUUUGACAGUAUAUCGUAUCAAUCGAUGCAAAAAGCCCAAUUCAGUACAGUUAAAGCAGCUAUAUGGGGCUCAUGUUCUGUUGAUUCCAGCGACCCCUGUAGGGAAAAAAAGCAUCAUCAGCACCAUAUUACCCUUUAUUUUAAUUUCAUUGACACUGUGGCUGUGGAUGAGUAGUAACUGUAAAAUGACGAUGGUAAAACAAAGUAAACUUUAAGUGGUUUCAUGUAAGCCCACAGCUAACAGGUUUGGUUGCUCAGUGAGAGUGAUUUGGUUGAGAAAGCUAUAUUUAACAGUUCCCACGAAUGCAUCGAAUUUCAGGGAAGUCCGACCUGAUGACAGGCAUUUGAAACAGCCAGUCUCCUCACUGAUGGUCUUGUUUGCUGAUGUAGAUCAUACAGAGGCAUCACUCCCAGUUUUUGUAAUGUGAUGUUUGCACCACACAUUAAAACAGUUGACAGAGAAAUACAAA